UAGGGAAUCUUCGGCAAUGGACGAAAGUCUGACCGAGCAACGCCGCGUGAGUGAAGAAGGUUUUCGGAUCGUAAAACUCUGUUGUUAGAGAAGAACAAGGACGUUAGUAACUGAACGUCCCCUGACGGUAUCUAACCAGAAAGCCACGGCUAACUACGUGCCAGCAGCCGCGGUAAUACGUAGGUGGCAAGCGUUGUCCGGAUUUAUUGGGCGUAAAGCGAGCGCAGGCGGUUUCUUAAGUCGGAUGUGAAACCCCCCGGCUCAACCGGGGAGGGUCAUUGGAAACUGGGAGACUUGAGUGCAGAAGAGGAGAGUGGAAUUCCAUGUGUAGCGGUGAAAUGCGUAGAUAUAUGGAGGAACACCAGUGGCGAAGGCGGCUCUCUGGUCUGUAACUGACGCUGAGGCUCGAAAGCGUGGGGAGCAAACAGG
Molecule: ribosomal RNA, 429 nt
Filed under: Gemmatimonadota bacterium
Lineage: Bacteria; Pseudomonadati; Gemmatimonadota
Description: Gemmatimonadetes bacterium partial 16S ribosomal RNA
Rfam family: Bacterial small subunit ribosomal RNA
Source: RNAcentral